AGUGAACGCUGGCGGUAGGCCUAACACAUGCAAGUCGAACGGCAGCACAGUAAGAGCUUGCUCUUACGGGUGGCGAGUGGCGGACGGGUGAGGAAUACAUCGGAAUCUACUUUUUCGUGGGGGAUAACGUAGGGAAACUUACGCUAAUACCGCAUACGACCUACGGGUGAAAGCAGGGGAUCUUCGGACCUUGCGCGAUUGAAUGAGCCGCUGUCGGAUUAGCUAGUUGGCGGGGUAAAGGCCCACCAAGGCGACGAUCCGUAGCUGGUCUGAGAGGAUGAUCAGCCACACUAGAGCUGAGACACGGUCCAGACUCCUACGGGAGGCAGCAGUGGGGAAUAUUGGACAAUGGGCGGAAGCCUGAUCCAGCCAUACCGCGUGGGUGAAGAAGGCCUUCGGGUUGUAAAGCCCUUUUGUUGGGAAAGAAAAGCAGCAGGUUAAUACCCCGCUGUUCUGACGGUACCCAAAGAAUAAGCACCGGCUAACUUCGUG
Molecule: ribosomal RNA, 492 nt
Filed under: uncultured bacterium
Lineage: Bacteria
Description: partial 16S ribosomal RNA
Rfam family: Bacterial small subunit ribosomal RNA
Source: RNAcentral